AUGCAUAAAAUGUGGGAGAAACCAUUAUCAUGAAGGUGGUUUUCCCAAGGUGAGGAAUAUCCAUUGCCCUUUGGAUAUGUUGACCCUGUGAUUUUUCCCAACUGUAGGAAAUUCAACUACAUAAUUUGUAACUGGGGACUGUUUUAACACUCUCUCCUA
Molecule: small nuclear RNA, 159 nt
Organism: Echinops telfairi (small Madagascar hedgehog)
Lineage: Eukaryota; Metazoa; Chordata; Mammalia; Afrosoricida; Tenrecidae
Product: U1 spliceosomal RNA
Exons: 1
Source: RefSeq, a predicted model, not a curated record